CGUAGGGUGCGAGCGUUGUCCGGAUUUACUGGGCGUAAAGGGCUCGUAGGUGGUGUGUCGCGUCGUCUGUGUAAUCCAGGGGCUUAACUUUUGGUUGGCAGGCGAUACGGGCGAUUGCUUGAGUGCUGUAGGGGAGGACUGGAAUUCCUGGUGUAGCGGUGAAAUGCGCAGAUAUCAGGAGGAACACCGAUGGCGAAGGCAGGUCUCUGGGCAGUUACUGACGCUGAGGAGCGAGAGCAUGGGUAGCGAACAGGAUU
RNAcentral lists this ribosomal RNA (257 nucleotides) under uncultured bacterium. RNAcentral's name for it is "partial 16S ribosomal RNA". It matches the Rfam family "Bacterial small subunit ribosomal RNA", at positions 526 to 779 of the family's 1533-position model. The record is from RNAcentral.